UCCAAACAAUAAUAUUACAUCGAUUAAUAAGAAAAAUAAUAUAUUCCCAUUUUGGUAUACGAUACUUAACAUAAAAGUACCAUUUUUUAAAAUACAACAGUUAAACAAAUUAUAGACCCUCUAUCAGGUCAUUCUUUCUCAAGCAAAUUAUAUACACCAUAUGUGCUUCUUGAUUUAUUUUAGUUAUCCUGCCUUGACUAAACUUCUAAAUAUUGGCUCUUCUUUCUUUCCUGUGAAUGAAAAAAUAAAGAAUAAAAAUAGACAAACAGAUAUAGAAAUACAACUUUUUCCACAUCCACAUUUCAAUGCAUAAUUACAACAAGUCAAGUUCAAUGCAAUGGAUUCAAACCAUCACCAACCAGAAACCUUGAGCAGAGAAGAGCAGAUGGAGAAAUAUAAACAACAAAAGAGGUCACUCCACUAUCAUUAAGGAUUAUGCAAGCACAUCAAAACCCCAUUCAAUAAUCAAAUUAAAUAAGCAUUUUUAUGAACUAAUUUGGCUACUAAAAACUCAACCAGGUUAGUAACUUAAUCAUGCAAGAUUAGAUUAACUGUAUUUGUCCAAUAAACUGAUUUCGGCAUAAAAAAUUCAUCAUCUUGAAUUACUUCAUGCAUUAAAUCCCUGCCUCAAGAAAAGCAUCCCUGUUAAUAUAAGAACCGGUUAAAAUUUGAAGCUACAAUCUUAAUGAACAUAACAAUACAAAUAUAAAAAAUAGUAUACAUAUCUUGAUACUGAUAGUUUUUUUUUAUGAUAAAGUCACUUGUUCUUCCAUAAACUUUUCAUACACAUAUACUACCUACAUAUAGAGAGAAACUUCAUCUUAUUAGCAUUUAUAAAGGAAACAGGAAAACAAAAAGGGAAAAUACAAAUAUGCUCUUCUUUCCCUCUUCUCCAAGAUUGUACCAGGACCUUUCCUUUCCGACUUAUGUGUGUGUUGAAGGCAAUAUUGAAGGCAGUUAACAAUGAAAACUUAGAAGGGUUAUAAACAUCAAAUUAGUCAACAUGAAAACUCAACAUUGUAAAGGAAAUAAGAAUGUGUAUCGAUCCACGUGGGAAAGUGAUAGAAAAUGGAUUACCUUGAGACUGUCAUUAUAGGUUUCCUAGCAACCACACCAUUUCAGUGAACACAAACCACAAUCAAUAGAUCUUGAAUUCUUCUUGAGAGUUAAGUUCUAAAUAAUUUUAUUUGUAAGGUAUUUUUUUUUAAUAUUUAAACCAAAGACAACAAAGUCAAUAAGAAAUCAUGCAUAUGAACUAUAAAUGUUGGACCUGAUGUUAGAUCUUCAAAGUCAUACCAGAUUCUGAAUGAAAGCAAAGUAAAACGAUGGUUUUUUUUUUCCUUUUAUGACCCAUAACAAUAUAGGUGAAAAAAUGAUACAUGAGGUUAGAUAUUCAAAGUCAAACCACAUUAUGAGUAAAAUCAAGGUAAAAAGGUGAGGUUUCGACAAAUUAUACCCAAAACACCAUAUAAAUCAAGGUCAAAAAUGGUACCUGAGGUUAACACUUCAAAAAUAGAAAUCAAGGUCAAAUGAUGAGAGAAUAGAAUAGUAGCACAUGCUAGAUGUCGUUAGCUGUUCGAGAGAGAUGGCUGUAGUGAACGGUGGUAAGAUGAAGUGUGACGGUGAUGAAGGUGGCUUGUUUGAUGGUUGUGAAGGUUAUGUGACAAUAAAGUUCACUGUUAGUGGGUUGUGAUGUUUGAUAGUUAGGAUUUUGGGUUUCUAAAGGAGAGAUGCGAGAGAAGAGAAAGGCGGAGGCGUUUAGCAGCGACUAUGAUUGUUUUCUCAAUGGUGAAUAUGUGGUGGGUAACUGCGUUGGAUAUGAGACUAUGGGAGGAAUUUUAGAGUAUUUUAUAGAGAGGGAUAGCGUUUAAGGAGGGAAUAGAUGGCGACUCAUGUACGGUUAUUCUACAAGGAAUGGGUUAUGGAGACCGAGAUAAUAGAUUAUAUAUAAAGUUUAUCUAUAGACCGAUUCCCACUUGACUGAUUCAAUUGGCAAAACCUAAGGAAGACCGGUUCUUCUUUGACCAGUUUAGUUUAAUUUGAAGAUGAGAGCAAAGACCAAUUCAAAAUGUACGUAAUUUAAUAGGAUAAGAUUUGGUAUUUUUGUAUGCAUAAACUGAUUGUAAAUAGUGUAAUAAGCCUUAUACCUCUUAAAAUUCAGCAAAAUCUUGUAAAUGCUUUUUAAGGUAUAUAUAUAUAUAUAUAUAUAUAUAUAUAUACACACACAUACUA
Molecule: long non-coding RNA, 2232 nt
Filed under: Lactuca sativa (garden lettuce)
Lineage: Eukaryota; Viridiplantae; Streptophyta; Magnoliopsida; Asterales; Asteraceae
Description: long non-coding RNA (LSAT_LNC009347)
Source: RNAcentral